CGGACGGGUGAGUAACGCGUAGGUAUCUAUCCGUGGGUGGGGGGAGUAAACCGUGGGAAACUACGGCUAAUACCGCAUGACACCUGAGGGUCAAAGGCGCGAGUCGCCUGUGGAGGAGCCUGCGUCCGAUUAGCUUGUUGGUGGGGUAAUGGCCUACCAAGGCUGCGAUCGGUAGCUGGUCUGAGAGGAUGAUCAGCCACACUGGGACUGAGACACGGCCCAG
Molecule: ribosomal RNA, 223 nt
Filed under: uncultured bacterium
Lineage: Bacteria
Description: partial 16S ribosomal RNA
Rfam family: Bacterial small subunit ribosomal RNA
Source: RNAcentral